GACGGGUAUCCGGCCUGAGAGGGUGAUCGGACACACUGGAACUGAGACACGGUCCAGACUCCUACGGGAGGCAGCAGUAGGGAAUAUUGCUCAAUGGGCGAAAGCCUGAAGCAGCAACGCCGCGUGGAGGAUGAAGGUUUUAGGAUUGUAAACUCCUUUUCUAAGAGAAGAUUAUGACGGUAUCUUAGGAAUAAGCACCGGCUAACUCCGUGCCAGCAGCCGCGGUAAUACGGAGGGUGCAAGCGUUACUCGGAAUCACUGGGCGUAAAGAGCGCGUAGGCGGGGUAGCAAGUCAGAUGUGAAAUCCUAUGGCUUAACUAUAGAACUGCAUUUGAAACUGUUACUCUA
This 348-nucleotide ribosomal RNA is filed under the name uncultured Helicobacter sp. RNAcentral's name for it is "bacterial SSU rRNA". It matches the Rfam family "Bacterial small subunit ribosomal RNA", at positions 278 to 643 of the family's 1533-position model. Lineage: Bacteria; Pseudomonadati; Campylobacterota; Epsilonproteobacteria; Campylobacterales; Helicobacteraceae. The record is from RNAcentral.